UACGGAGGGAGCUAGCGUUGUUCGGAAUUACUGGGCGUAAAGGGCUCGUAGGCGGCCAACUAAGUCAGACGUGAAAUCCCUCAGCUUAACUGGGGAACUGCGUCUGAUACUGGAUGGCUUGGAUUUGGGAGAGGGAUGCGGAAUUCCAGGUGUAGCGGUGAAAUGCGUAGAUAUCUGGAGGAACACCGGUGGCGAAGGCGGCAUCCUGGACCAAUAUUGACGCUGAGGAGCGAAAGCCAGGGGAGCAAACGGG
This 253-nucleotide ribosomal RNA is filed under the name uncultured bacterium. RNAcentral describes it as "partial 16S ribosomal RNA". It matches the Rfam family "Bacterial small subunit ribosomal RNA", at positions 524 to 776 of the family's 1533-position model. The record is from RNAcentral.